UGGGCGGUUAGCUCAGCUGGCCAGAGCACCUCCCUUACAAGGAGGGGGUCAUAGGUUCGAAUCCUAUACCGCCCACUUA
This 79-nucleotide transfer RNA is filed under the name Persephonella marina EX-H1. RNAcentral's name for it is "tRNA-Val". It matches the Rfam family "tRNA". Rfam says of the family: Transfer RNA (tRNA) molecules are approximately 80 nucleotides in length. Their secondary structure includes four short double-helical elements and three loops (D, anti-codon, and T loops). Lineage: Bacteria; Pseudomonadati; Aquificota; Aquificia; Aquificales; Hydrogenothermaceae. The record is from RNAcentral.